UACGUAGGGGGCUAGCGUUGUCCGGAAUCAUUGGGCGUAAAGAGCGCGUAGGCGGCCAGAUAAGUCCGGUGUGAAAGUCAGAGGCUCAACCUUUGAAUGCCGCUGGAAACUGUCUGGCUAGAGUCCGGGAGGGGCGAGUGGAAUUCCUGGUGUAGCGGUGAAAUGCGCAGAUAUCAGGAGGAACACCAAUGGCGAAGGCAGCUCGCUGGAACGGUACUGACGCUGAGGCGCGAAAGCGUGGGGAGCAAACAGG
This 253-nucleotide ribosomal RNA is filed under the name uncultured bacterium. Its description in RNAcentral is "partial 16S ribosomal RNA". It matches the Rfam family "Bacterial small subunit ribosomal RNA", at positions 524 to 776 of the family's 1533-position model. The record is from RNAcentral.